Long non-coding RNA from Pyrus x bretschneideri (Chinese white pear), 1220 nucleotides. RefSeq lists it as uncharacterized. Lineage: Eukaryota; Viridiplantae; Streptophyta; Magnoliopsida; Rosales; Rosaceae. The transcript has 2 exons. The record is from RefSeq and is a predicted model, not a curated record.
UAUACUACCUGGAUUCAACAGGACCAAAUGAUCCUCAACUGGAUCAAUGGUUCCCUCAUGGCAUUUGUCCUGUCAACCGUGGCUAGCAAACGCACCUCGCGUGUGACCUGGGAAGCUUUGGAACAACGUUAUGCAUCCUUCUUGCAGAACAUGAUCUUUUAGGCGAAAUGAACUCCUGCAAACAAAAAAAGGUGAUAUUUCAAUUGCUGAUUUUCUUGAUAAAAUGAAUUCAAUUUUUGAUAACCUUCCCUUGGCUGGCAAGCCUAUUGAUGAUGAUGAGCUAGUUCAAAUUAUCUUGAAUAACCUUAGACUGGCAUUUGAAAUGACCGUGAAUGCUGCAUAAGCACGGGAUACUCCCAUUACAUAUCCCACCCUUGAGGCUCUUCUCCUGACCACUGAGAGAAGAAUGUUGUAGCAGACUGUUCCAUUGGUUGAAACUGCUCCAAUCAAUGCAUAUGUGGCUGCAAGAGGAUGUGGUGGACGUUCUCGAGAAACUGGACGUGGUGUUGGUCGGUCCAACCGUGGUGGUUCUGUGAAUCAGCGAGGUCAUGCUGUUCGCAACAACAACAACUAGCGAGGCUUUGGUCAUACUAGGGAACGUUGUGCGUCUGCUAGUGGGCGUAUAACCUGUCAGAUUUGUGGACGAGAAGGGCAUCAUGCCCUAGAUUGUUAUCAACGUAUGAACUUUGCCUAUGAGGAUCGAAUCCCAGCUAAGCGCCUCACUGCAAUGGCCUCAUCUCCAAUCACUCUGAAUCACCAAUAAAAUGGUCAGUGGCUCUUAGACACUAGAGCAAACGCUCAUAUCACACCUGACAUUCAGAACCCGGUGAACCCUAAAUAAUACACUGGCAAUGACAACAUUGGUGGCGUAGGACCUUAAGACCCAGAUGACGCUUUUCCAAGGGAGGUGUGAGAAUGGGUUAUACCCAUUUCCAAAUGGCGGUGGAUUAUCCAAUCGUCCAUUUUCAGCAUUUUUAGGAGUUCGAGUGUCUGCAAAGCAGUGGCAUGCACGACUUAGUCAUUCUAGUUCCUCCAUAAUAAAGUUUUUGAUUUCAAAUAAACAAGUGCCAAUAAGUGGCACUUUUGAAGUAACCUUUUGUCAUUCAUGUCCGUUAGGCAAGAGUAAAAAAUUGCCUUUCAAAUCUUCAAAGUCUGUUUUGAAAUUUCCGUUAGAACUUUUACAUUCCGAUGUUUGGUGUUCACCAAUUGUUUCUAUUGAA